GCCCGGCUGGCUCAGUCGGUGGAGCAUGUGACUCUUGAUCUCGGGGUUGUGAGUCUGAGCCCCACGCUGGGUG
RNAcentral lists this transfer RNA (73 nucleotides) under Ailuropoda melanoleuca (giant panda). It matches the Rfam family "tRNA". Rfam says of the family: Transfer RNA (tRNA) molecules are approximately 80 nucleotides in length. The record is from Rfam by way of RNAcentral. Lineage: Eukaryota; Metazoa; Chordata; Mammalia; Carnivora; Ursidae.